Molecule: ribosomal RNA, 229 nt
Filed under: uncultured bacterium
Lineage: Bacteria
Description: partial 16S ribosomal RNA
Rfam family: Bacterial small subunit ribosomal RNA
Source: RNAcentral
UGCGUAGGCGGACUAAUAAGUCAGUGGUGAAAUCUCUCGGCUCAACCGGGAAACUGCCAUUGAUACUGUUAGUCUUGAGUUUGGUUGAGGUAGGCGGAAUGUGUAAUGUAGCGGUGAAAUGCUUAGAUAUUACACAGAACACCAAUUGCGUAGGCAGCUUACUAGACCGACACUGACGCUGAGGCACGAAAGCGUGGGUAGCGAACAGGAUUAGAUACCCUGGUAGUCC